AUUGAACGCUGGCGGAAUGCUUUACACAUGCAAGUCGAGCGGCAGCGCGGCCUUCGGGCUGGCGGCGAGCGGCGAACGGGUGAGUAAUGCAUCGGAACAUGCCCAGUCGUGGGGGAUAACACUUCGAAAGAAGUGCUAAUACCGCAUACGUCCUGAGGGGGAAAGCGGGGGAUCGCAAGACCUCGCGCGAUUGGAGUGGCCGAUGUCAGAUUAGCUAGUUGGUGGGGUAAAGGCCUACCAAGGCGACGAUCUGUAGCUGGUCUGAGAGGAUGAUCAGCCACACUGGGACUGAGACACGGCCCAGACUCCUACGGGAGGCAGCAGUGGGGAAUUUUGGACAAUGGGGGCAACCCUGAUCCAGCCAUUCCGCGUGAGUGAAGAAGGCCUUCGGGUUGUAAAGCUCUUUCGGCAGGAACGAAACGGUGGGCUCUAACAUAGUCCGCUAAUGACGGUACCUGAAGAAGAAGCACCGGCUAACCACGUG
Molecule: ribosomal RNA, 484 nt
Filed under: uncultured bacterium
Lineage: Bacteria
Description: partial 16S ribosomal RNA
Rfam family: Bacterial small subunit ribosomal RNA
Source: RNAcentral